RNAcentral lists this ribosomal RNA (392 nucleotides) under uncultured bacterium. RNAcentral's name for it is "bacterial SSU rRNA". It matches the Rfam family "Bacterial small subunit ribosomal RNA", at positions 524 to 916 of the family's 1533-position model. The record is from RNAcentral.
GACAGAGGUGGCAAGCGUUGUUCGGAAUUACUGGGCUUAAAGGGCGCGUAGGCGGUGGAGUAAGUCUGAGGUGGAAGAUCAGGGCCUAACCCUGAAAUUGCCUUGGAAACUGCAUCACUUGAGUCAGCGAGGGGAUGGCGGAAUUCCAGGUGUAGCGGUGAAAUGCGUAGAUAUCUGGAGGAAGGCCGGUGGCGAAGGCGGCCAUCUGGCGCUGAACUGACGCUGAGGCGCGAAAGCGUGGGGAGCAAACAGGAUUAGAUACCCUGGUAGUCCACGCCCUAAACGGUGGGUACUAGGUGUAGGGCUCGCAAGGGUUCUGUGCCGUAGGGAAACCAUUAAGUACCCCGCCUGGGGAGUACGGCCGCAAGGUUGAAACUUAAAUGAAUUGACGG